GACGAACGCUGGCGGCGUGCUUAACACAUGCAAGUCGAACGGAAAGGCCCUGCUUUUGUGGGGUGCUCGAGUGGCGAACGGGUGAGUAACACGUGAGUAACCUACCCUUGACUUUGGGAUAACUUCAGGAAACUGGGGCUAAUACCGGAUAGGAGCUCCUGCUGCAUGGUGGGGGUUGGAAAGUUUCGGCGGUUGGGGAUGGACUCGCGGCUUAUCAGCUUGUUGGUGGGGUAGUGGCUUACCAAGGCUUUGACGGGUAGCCGGCCUGAGAGGGUGACCGGCCACAUUGGGACUGAGAUACGGCCCAGACUCCUACGGGAGGCAGCAGUGGGGAAUAUUGCACAAUGGGCGGAAGCCUGAUGCAGCAACGCCGCGUGCGGGAUGACGGCCUUCGGGUUGUAAACCGCUUUCGCCUGUGACGAAGCGUGAGUGACGGUAAUGGGCAAAGAAGCACCGGCUAACUACGUG
RNAcentral lists this ribosomal RNA (468 nucleotides) under uncultured bacterium. Its description in RNAcentral is "partial 16S ribosomal RNA". It matches the Rfam family "Bacterial small subunit ribosomal RNA", at positions 28 to 507 of the family's 1533-position model. The record is from RNAcentral.